AUUCAUUCAGGGAUCGUUUCUAUAGUUCUUUACUAGAUAAGUUUCUCUGAUCUUGUAGAGCACUGGAAACCACGAGGAGGAGACAGAGCAUCUUCUUCCUAAGUAUGAAGCUGGUCCUAGUUGUUGAUAUUGCAACGACCUUUGCAUUGAGGAUUGUGCUUCUCUCGCUUUGGAAGAGGGAGAGUGAGAGAACACCAUUUGAGUGG
This 206-nucleotide small nucleolar RNA is filed under the name Sorex araneus (European shrew). RNAcentral describes it as "Small nucleolar RNA U3 (ENSSARG00000015776.1)". It matches the Rfam family "Small nucleolar RNA U3". Rfam says of the family: Small nucleolar RNAs (snoRNAs) are involved in the processing and modification of rRNA in the nucleolus. There are two main classes of snoRNAs: the box C/D class, and the box H/ACA class. Lineage: Eukaryota; Metazoa; Chordata; Mammalia; Eulipotyphla; Soricidae. The record is from RNAcentral.